RNAcentral lists this transfer RNA (67 nucleotides) under Allacta robusta. Its description in RNAcentral is "tRNA-Arg". Lineage: Eukaryota; Metazoa; Arthropoda; Insecta; Blattodea; Pseudophyllodromiidae. The record is from RNAcentral.
AAAUAUGAAGUAAUUCAUUACAUAUUAGUUUCGACCUAAUUAUAAGUUAUUCAUAUAACCAUAUUUA